GGAGAAGCAAAGUGAUGAGCGUUACUAGCUGGAGCCCCAAAGAGGCACGUGUGUGUGUGUGUGUGUGUGUGUGUGUGUGUGUGUAUCCUUGUUUGUGCGUGCACGCGUACGUCUGGGAGUGUGAAUGUGUGUGACUGGUUGUAGGGAACUAGUUAUGUGCCUUCUGUUGGACCAUGACAGUCAAACUGAUAAGAUCUGAUUGCUUC
Molecule: small nucleolar RNA, 206 nt
Filed under: Zalophus californianus (California sea lion)
Lineage: Eukaryota; Metazoa; Chordata; Mammalia; Carnivora; Otariidae
Description: Small nucleolar RNA ZL1 (ENSZCAG00015008654.1)
Rfam family: Small nucleolar RNA ZL1
About the family: Host gene TRRAP. Predicted target U2@U47. Only GU-rich region is homologous to other known snoRNAs.
Source: RNAcentral